GAUGAACGCUGGCGGCGUGCUUAACACAUGCAAGUCGAACGAAGCACUUUAUUUGAUUUCCUUCGGGACUGAUUAUUUUGUGACUGAGUGGCGGACGGGUGAGUAACGCGUGGGUAACCUGCCUUGUACAGGGGGAUAACAGUUGGAAACGGCUGCUAAUACCGCAUAAGCGCACGGCAUCGCAUGAUGCAGUGUGAAAAACUCCGGUGGUAUAAGAUGGACCCGCGUUGGAUUAGCUAGUUGGUGAGGUGACGGCCCACCAAGGCGACGAUCCAUAGCCGACCUGAGAGGGUGACCGGCCACAUUGGGACUGAGACACGGCCCAAACUCCUACGGGAGGCAGCAGUGGGGAAUAUUGCACAAUGGGCGAAAGCCUGAUGCAGCGACGCCGCGUGAGCGAAGAAGUAUUUCGGUAUGUAAAGCUCUAUCAGCAGGGAAGAUAAUGACGGUACCUGACUAAGAAGCACCGGCUAAAUACGUG
Molecule: ribosomal RNA, 481 nt
Filed under: uncultured bacterium
Lineage: Bacteria
Description: partial 16S ribosomal RNA
Rfam family: Bacterial small subunit ribosomal RNA
Source: RNAcentral